This 600-nucleotide ribosomal RNA is filed under the name Marinobacter salsuginis. RNAcentral's name for it is "bacterial SSU rRNA". It matches the Rfam family "Bacterial small subunit ribosomal RNA", at positions 79 to 675 of the family's 1533-position model. The record is from RNAcentral. Lineage: Bacteria; Pseudomonadati; Pseudomonadota; Gammaproteobacteria; Pseudomonadales; Marinobacteraceae.
UGCACCCCGCUGACGAGCGGCGGACGGGUGAGUAAUGCAUAGGAAACUGCCCAGUAGUGGGGGAUAGCCCGGGGAAACCCGGAUUAAUACCGCGUACGCCCUUCGGGGGAAAGCAGGGGAUCUUCGGACCUUGCGCUAUUGGAUGUGCCUAUGUCGGAUUAGCUAGUUGGUGGGGUAAAGGCCUACCAAGGCGACGAUCCGUAGCUGGUCUGAGAGGAUGAUCAGCCACAUCGGGACUGAGACACGGCCCGAACUCCUACGGGAGGCAGCAGUGGGGAAUAUUGGACAAUGGGGGCAACCCUGAUCCAGCCAUGCCGCGUGUGUGAAGAAGGCUUUCGGGUUGUAAAGCACUUUCAGUGAGGAGGAAAAGUUGGUCGUUAAUACCGGCCAGCCUUGACGUUACUCACAGAAGAAGCACCGGCUAACUCCGUGCCAGCAGCCGCGGUAAUACGGAGGGUGCAAGCGUUAAUCGGAAUUACUGGGCGUAAAGCGCGCGUAGGUGGUUUGAUAAGCGAGAUGUGAAAGCCCCGGGCUUAACCUGGGAACGGCAUUUCGAACUGUCAGGCUAGAGUAUGGUAGAGGAGUGUGGAAUUUCCUGUG